GAUCCUGGCUUAGGAUGAACGCUAGCUACAGGCUUAACACAUGCAAGUCGAGGGGCAGCAUUGGGGUAGCAAUACUCAGAUGGCGACCGGCGCACGGGUGAGUAACACGUAUCCAACCUGCCGCUUACUCGGGGAUAGCCUUUCGAAAGAAAGAUUAAUACCCGAUGGUAUAAAGAGUUCGCAUGUUCUCUUUAUUAAAGAAUUUCGGUAAGCGAUGGGGAUGCGUUCCAUUAGAUAGUUGGCGGGGUAACGGCCCACCAAGUCUACGAUGGAUAGGGGUUCUGAGAGGAAGGUCCCCCACAUUGGAACUGAGACACGGUCCAAACUCCUACGGGAGGCAGCAGUGAGGAAUAUUGGUCAAUGGACGAGAGUCUGAACCAGCCAAAGUAGCGUGAAGGAUGACUGCCCUAUGGGUUGUAAACUUCUUUUAUAAGGGAAUAAAGUGAGGGACGUGUCCCUUUUUGUAUGUACCUUAUGAAUAAGGAUCGGCUAACUCCGUGCCAGCCGCCGC
Molecule: ribosomal RNA, 511 nt
Filed under: uncultured bacterium
Lineage: Bacteria
Description: bacterial SSU rRNA
Rfam family: Bacterial small subunit ribosomal RNA
Source: RNAcentral